AUCCAGCUGACGAGUCCCAAAUAGGACGAAACGCGCGACCUGAAC
Molecule: non-coding RNA, 45 nt
Organism: Schistosoma mansoni
Lineage: Eukaryota; Metazoa; Platyhelminthes; Trematoda; Strigeidida; Schistosomatidae
Source: Rfam